This 565-nucleotide ribosomal RNA is filed under the name Lymantini sp. RNAcentral describes it as "partial 28S ribosomal RNA". It matches the Rfam family "Eukaryotic large subunit ribosomal RNA", at positions 284 to 645 of the family's 3401-position model. Lineage: Eukaryota; Metazoa; Arthropoda; Insecta; Coleoptera; Curculionidae. The record is from RNAcentral.
AGCCCUAAGUGGGUGGUAAACUCCAUCUAAGGCUAAAUAUGACCACGAGACCGAUAGCGAACAAGUACCGUGAGGGAAAGUUGAAAAGCACUUUGAAGAGAGAGUUCAAGAGUACGUGAAACCGUUUAGGGGUAAACCUGAGAAACCCGAAAGGUCGAAGGGAGAAAUUCAUUCGCGUUUCGCCGUAGGCGUGAGACGGUCGAGUGACGGGGGGGCGUUCGCGCGUACCCCCGCGCCUUCCGUUUUUCGAUCCGGCGGCGAACGCGUGCACUUUUCUCCUGGUAGGACGUCGCGAUCCGUUGAGUGUCGGUCUACGGCUCGCGGUGGAGCCCGGACGUACGGCUUGCGCCGUCUCACGUUCGGACCCGCGUGUCCCGGCCGACCCGCUCGACGGUAUACGAAAGGUUAAAGGCCGCUCUCGGAGCGUUCGGCUCGCGGCAAGCGCGUCAGAUGAGUUGGCGAUCGGACCCCGUGCCGAUUCUGACCUCUGGCGACUGUUGGCCGUGAAGUUCUCGAACAGACCUCUUAGACCGAUCUGCGACGCUAUCGUUUUGGGUACUUUCAG